Molecule: small nucleolar RNA, 132 nt
Organism: Cynocephalus volans (Philippine flying lemur)
Lineage: Eukaryota; Metazoa; Chordata; Mammalia; Dermoptera; Cynocephalidae
Source: RefSeq, a predicted model, not a curated record
GUUGAGGUCUAUCCCGAUGGGGCUUUUCCUGUAGCCACACAUCACUGGAAACACCUCAUAGAGUAAGUCUGUGGUUCUGCUUUACUCGUAGGACUACUUGUCAGAUCUGUGGAAAGAAACUACAAGACAGUU